CGCUGGCGGCGCGCCUAACACAUGCAAGUCGAACGAGAGAGAAGGAGCUUGCUUCUUCGAUCGAGUGGCGAACGGGUGAGUAACGCGUGAGGAACCUGCCUCAAAGAGGGGGACAACAGUUGGAAACGACUGCUAAUACCGCAUAAGCCCACGGGUCGGCAUCGACCUGAGGGAAAAGGAGCAAUCCGCUUUGAGAUGGCCUCGCGUCCGAUUAGCUAGUUGGUGAGGUAAUGGCCCACCAAGGCGACGAUCGGUAGCCGGACUGAGAGGUUGAACGGCCACAUUGGGACUGAGACACGGCCCAGACUCCUACGGGAGGCAGCAGUGGGGAAUAUUGCACAAUGGGGGAAACCCUGAUGCAGCGACGCCGCGUGGAGGAAGAAGGUCUUCGGAUUGUAAACUCCUGUUGUUGAGGAAGAUAAUGACGGUACUCAACAAGGAAGUGACGGCUAACUACGUGCCAGCAGCCGCGGUAAAACGUAGGUCACAAGCGUUGUCCGGAAUUACUGGGUGUAAAGGGAGCGCAGGCGGGAAGACAAGUUGGAAGUGAAAUCUAUGGGCUCAACCCAUAAACUGCUUUCAAAACUGUUUUUCUUGAGUAGUGCAGAGGUAGGCGGAAUUCCCGGUGU
RNAcentral lists this ribosomal RNA (629 nucleotides) under uncultured Lachnospiraceae bacterium. Its description in RNAcentral is "bacterial SSU rRNA". It matches the Rfam family "Bacterial small subunit ribosomal RNA", at positions 34 to 676 of the family's 1533-position model. Lineage: Bacteria; Bacillati; Bacillota; Clostridia; Lachnospirales; Lachnospiraceae. The record is from RNAcentral.